RNAcentral lists this ribosomal RNA (447 nucleotides) under uncultured bacterium. RNAcentral's name for it is "partial 16S ribosomal RNA". It matches the Rfam family "Bacterial small subunit ribosomal RNA", at positions 328 to 792 of the family's 1533-position model. The record is from RNAcentral.
CCGCCAGACUCCUACGGGAGGCAGCAGUGGGGGAUAUUGCACAAUGGGGGGAACCCUGAUGCAGCGACGCCGCGUGGGUGAAGAAGCGCCUCGGCGCGUAAAGCCCUGUCAGCAGGGAAGAAAAUGACGGUACCUGAAGAAGAAGCCCCGGCUAACUACGUGCCAGCAGCCGCGGUAAUACGUAGGGGGCAAGCGUUAUCCGGAUUUACUGGGUGUAAAGGGGGCGCAGACGGCGAUGCAAGCCAGGAGUGAAAGCCCGGGGCCCAACCCCGGGACUGCUCUUGGAACUGCGUGGCUGGAGUGCAGGAGGGGCAGGCGGAAUUCCUGGUGUAGCGGUGAAAUGCAUAGAUAUUACACAGAACACCGAUUGCGAAGGCAGCUUGCUAGGCCGGAUCUGACGCUGAUGCACGAAAGCGUGGGGAUCGAACAGGAUUAGAUACCCCCGUA